RNAcentral lists this ribosomal RNA (497 nucleotides) under uncultured bacterium. Its description in RNAcentral is "partial 16S ribosomal RNA". It matches the Rfam family "Bacterial small subunit ribosomal RNA", at positions 28 to 507 of the family's 1533-position model. The record is from RNAcentral.
GAUGAACGCUGGCGGCGUGCCUAAUACAUGCAAGUCGAGCGAACAGACGAGGAGCUUGCUCCUCUGACGUUAGCGGCGGACGGGUGAGUAACACGUGGAUAACCUACCUAUAAGACUGGGAUAACUUCGGGAAACCGGAGCUAAUACCGGAUAAUAUAUUGAACCGCAUGGUUCAAUAGUGAAAGACGGUUUUGCUGUCACUUAUAGAUGGAUCCGCGCCGCAUUAGCUAGUUGGUAAGGUAACGGCUUACCAAGGCAACGAUGCGUAGCCGACCUGAGAGGGUGAUCGGCCACACUGGAACUGAGACACGGUCCAGACUCCUACGGGAGGCAGCAGUAGGGAAUCUUCCGCAAUGGGCGAAAGCCUGACGGAGCAACGCCGCGUGAGUGAUGAAGGUCUUUGGAUCGUAAAACUCUGUUAUUAGGGAAGAACAAAUGUGUAAGUAACUAUGCACGUCUUGACGGUACCUAAUCAGAAAGCCACGGCUAACUACGUG